AGUGAACGCUGGCGGUAGGCCUAACACAUGCAAGUCGAACGGCAGCACAGUAAUAGCUUGCUCUUACGGGUGGCGAGUGGCGGACGGGUGAGGAAUACAUCGGAAUCUACUUUUUCGUGGGGGAUAACGUAGGGAAACUUACGCUAAUACCGCAUACGACCUACGGGUGAAAGCAGGUGAUCUUCGGACCUUGCGCGAUUGAAUGAGCCGAUGUCGGAUUAGCUAGUUGGCGGGGUAAAGGCCCACCAAGGCGACGAUCCGUAGCUGGUCUGAGAGGAUGAUCAGCCACACUGGAACUGAGACACGGUCCAGACUCCUACGGGAGGCAGGAGGGGGGAAUAUUGGACAAUGGGCGCAAGCAUGAUCCAGCCAUACAGCGUGGGUGAAGAAGGCCUUCGGGUUGUAAAGCCCUUUUGUUGGGAAAGAAAAGAAGCAGGUUAAUACCCCGCUGUUCUGACGGUACCCAAAGAAUAAGCACCGGCUAACUUCGU
This 491-nucleotide ribosomal RNA is filed under the name uncultured bacterium. RNAcentral's name for it is "partial 16S ribosomal RNA". It matches the Rfam family "Bacterial small subunit ribosomal RNA", at positions 29 to 506 of the family's 1533-position model. The record is from RNAcentral.